This is a long non-coding RNA of Planococcus citri (citrus mealybug), 603 nucleotides long. RefSeq lists it as uncharacterized. The record is from RefSeq and is a predicted model, not a curated record. The transcript is spliced from 3 exons. Lineage: Eukaryota; Metazoa; Arthropoda; Insecta; Hemiptera; Pseudococcidae.
AAGAUGGCUGACCAGGUAGGAAAGCGAAACGGAAAAGGAUGCAGACAAGUCAGUCAAUUUGUUGAAAUGUUGAUCCUCUAAUGCAGAAUGUUAAUUUCGAUGUUCAAUAAUUUAAAAUUGGUGCUUACUUCACAAAAUGAGUUUAUUUUUAAUCAGUGUUCUCUAACGAUAUCUACAGAUAACUAAGUGGUGCAGAACACCUGUGGAGAAGUGUGCAAAAUCUUUCAAUCAUUAUCUUCGAAACAAAUUAAGUAAUUGAAGUCAAUCUCAAACAAUAAUGAAUAAUCAUCGUCCAUCCCAUCGUUUCGUCAUUUCAAUUCAGUAGUUAGGUAUCAUACGAAAUUGCAAACACAGACAGUAUACAGAUCAGACUUGCAUUUGAAGAUGAUUCGAAGAAUAAACCUUCGUAGGUACUUAUGCUAAUUGUUCGAAGAUAAGCUUCCAAUUUUUAAUAAUAUGAAUCGUUGUUUUGCAAAUAGGAUCGGAAUUGAUCAAGCGUAGAAUUUUCCAUUUAAUUGGUGUGAUAAGAAAAUCGAAACACAUGAUAUUAAAAUUUGGCCCAAUUAAGAAAUGAGAAGAUGAAAACCACUCUGGAAUUCUGAC